AAAAUAUAUAUUUUAUGACGUGGAAAUAGUCAAACAAUUGUAAUCGACCAAAUGUUUGAUUUGACUUUAGAGAGUAACAAAAGAAGAGACGCAGUGAAUGAAAGCUUUCAAAAUUUGGAACGAUCAUAUACUGCGUCUCUUGUCUUGUGGAUGCUUCUGAUGCCCUUUUGAUGGCAACAUCGACCCAGAUAAUCGAAAUGAAAUGAAAAGAGAAA
Caenorhabditis elegans is the source of this 215-nucleotide non-coding RNA. The record is from Ensembl. Lineage: Eukaryota; Metazoa; Nematoda; Chromadorea; Rhabditida; Rhabditidae.